UACGGGGGGGGCAAGCGUUGUUCGGAAUUACUGGGCGUAAAGGGCUCGUAGGCGGCCAACUAAGUCAGACGUGAAAUCCCUCGGCUUAACCGGGGAACUGCGUCUGAUACUGGAUGGCUUGAGAUUGGGAGAGGGAUGCGGAAUUCCAGGUGUAGCGGUGAAAUGCGUAGAUAUCUGGAGGAACACCGGUGGCGAAGGCGGCAUCCUGGACGGAUACUGACGCUCAGGUUCGAAAGCCAAGGUAGCAAACAGG
RNAcentral lists this ribosomal RNA (253 nucleotides) under uncultured bacterium. Its description in RNAcentral is "partial 16S ribosomal RNA". It matches the Rfam family "Bacterial small subunit ribosomal RNA", at positions 524 to 776 of the family's 1533-position model. The record is from RNAcentral.